UGGGGAAUAUUGCACAAUGGGCGCAAGCCUGAUGCAGCGACGCCGCGUGAGGGAUGACGGCCUUCGGGUUGUAAACCUCUUUCGCCAGGGACGAAGCGCAAGUGACGGUACCUGGAGAAGAAGGACCGGCCAACUACGUGCCAGCAGCCGCGGUAAUACGUAGGGUCCGAGCGUUGUCCGGAAUUACUGGGCGUAAAGAGCUCGUAGGUGGUUUGUCGCGUUGUUCGUGAAAACUCACAGCUCAACUGU
RNAcentral lists this ribosomal RNA (249 nucleotides) under uncultured Mycobacterium sp. RNAcentral describes it as "partial 16S ribosomal RNA". It matches the Rfam family "Bacterial small subunit ribosomal RNA", at positions 355 to 616 of the family's 1533-position model. Lineage: Bacteria; Bacillati; Actinomycetota; Actinomycetes; Mycobacteriales; Mycobacteriaceae. The record is from RNAcentral.